AUCAUAGUGUUGAAGAGGAAGAGUAGAGUAGAAACCAUUCUCAGAGAAUUUGGGUCUAUGGCUGAGAGCCCAUGUAAUAGGUCUAUUUGAAAACUACCUUGGAGCUGAGCUUUAUUAGCAGUAUUUGUAUUUAUACUAUAUGUGAAAGUGCUCGGGUGACGACCUUAUAGUCAUCAAGAGGGUUGUAUAUACUUGUAUACGCCAACUUGGGUGGAACCGCGAAUUAAUAUCGUCCCAAAU
RNAcentral lists this non-coding RNA (240 nucleotides) under Clostridioides difficile T5. Its description in RNAcentral is "T-box". It matches the Rfam family "T-box leader". Rfam says of the family: Uncharged tRNA acts as the effector for transcription antitermination of genes in the T-box leader family. T-boxes are found upstream of many aminoacyl-tRNA synthetase genes and some amino acid biosynthetic genes usually in Gram-positive bacteria. Lineage: Bacteria; Bacillati; Bacillota; Clostridia; Peptostreptococcales; Peptostreptococcaceae. RNAcentral also lists the same sequence under 3 other names. The record is from RNAcentral.